UUUUAUUUUGCCCUAUAGAAAACAAGAACCCAUAACAGAGUUUUUCUUCCCAUUCAUACAGAUUUUAGGAAGGCACUGCUUUUUCCCUUGGAGAAAUAAUCUACAGACAAAAAAGCAGUACCACCUUGUGAAAUGGGUGAUUGCCGAAGUCAGUAGCUUGGAGACGACCCCCAAGGGCAGGGAAGCAAACACACUUGUUGCAAGAAUUAGACCCUGAGCUGUGGAAACGGAUCACUUCUGUUUUCAACACCAUGGACCCGGAGUACACAACAAGGAAACGAAGGCUCAGAGGCAUCAAAUAACUGGGUCCACAUUACUUGGCUAAUAAGUGGCGAAGCUAAAUGUUCGGCCCCUGUAGACACUCUUCACCUGCGCACUCAGACAACAGUAGCGUCAUCAAAGAGAGCAGCUCCUGAAGUGACACAAGUGAG
Molecule: long non-coding RNA, 431 nt
Filed under: Mustela putorius furo (domestic ferret)
Lineage: Eukaryota; Metazoa; Chordata; Mammalia; Carnivora; Mustelidae
Description: lncRNA (ENSMPUG00000025890.1)
Source: RNAcentral